GGAUUGUAGCUCAGUGGUAGAGCACCCGCCUAGCAUGGGCUAGACUGGGUUCGAUUCUCAGCACCA
RNAcentral lists this transfer RNA (66 nucleotides) under Marmota monax (woodchuck). Its description in RNAcentral is "tRNA.Ala". Lineage: Eukaryota; Metazoa; Chordata; Mammalia; Rodentia; Sciuridae. The record is from RNAcentral.